UACAUAGGUCCCAAGCGUUGUUCGGAUUCACUGGGCGUAAAGGGUGCGUAUGCGGUCGGGUAAGUCUGAUGUGAAAUCUCACAGCUUAACUGUGAAACUGCAUUGGAUACUAUCCGGCUCGAGGAAUGGAGGGGAGACUGGAAUACUUGGUGUAGCAGUGAAAUGCGUAGAUAUCAAGUGGAACACCAGUGGCGAAGGCGAGUCUCUGGACAUUUCCUGACGCUGAGGCACGAAAGCCAGGGGAGCAAACGGG
RNAcentral lists this ribosomal RNA (253 nucleotides) under uncultured bacterium. RNAcentral describes it as "partial 16S ribosomal RNA". It matches the Rfam family "Bacterial small subunit ribosomal RNA", at positions 524 to 776 of the family's 1533-position model. The record is from RNAcentral.